UACGGGAGGCAGCAGUAGGGAAUAUUGGACAAUGGGGGCAACCCUGAUCCAGCAAUGCCGCGUGAGUGAUGAAGGCCUUAGGGUUGUAAAGCUCUUUUACCCGGGAUGAUAAUGACAGUACCGGGAGAAUAAGCCCCGGCUAACUCCGUGCCAGCAGCCGCGGUAAU
Molecule: ribosomal RNA, 167 nt
Filed under: uncultured bacterium
Lineage: Bacteria
Description: partial 16S ribosomal RNA
Rfam family: Bacterial small subunit ribosomal RNA
Source: RNAcentral